AACGAACGCUGGCGGCGCGCUUAACACAUGCAAGUCGAACGAGAAGGCGUAGCAAUACGCUUGUACAGUGGCGAACGGGUGAGUAAUACGUGGGCGACCUACCCUCGAGUGGGGAAUAACCCGCCGAAAGGCGGGCUAAUGCCGCGUACGCUUCCAUCUUUAUGGAGGUGGAAGGAAAGCCGUGCCGUGGGCACGGCGCUCAAGGAUGGGCUCACGUCCUAUCAGCUUGUGGUAGGACGCCUACCAAGGCUCCGACGGUAGCUGGUCUGAGAGGACGAUCAGCCACACUGGCACUGCGACACGGGCCAGACUCCUACGGGA
This 321-nucleotide ribosomal RNA is filed under the name uncultured bacterium. RNAcentral describes it as "bacterial SSU rRNA". It matches the Rfam family "Bacterial small subunit ribosomal RNA", at positions 29 to 346 of the family's 1533-position model. The record is from RNAcentral.